RNAcentral lists this ribosomal RNA (477 nucleotides) under uncultured bacterium. Its description in RNAcentral is "partial small subunit ribosomal RNA". It matches the Rfam family "Bacterial small subunit ribosomal RNA", at positions 26 to 518 of the family's 1533-position model. The record is from RNAcentral.
AGGACGAACGCUGGCGGCGUGCUUAACACAUGCAAGUCAUGGGGGUCCGCAAGGACAACCGGCGAACGGGUGCGUAACACGUGAGCAACCUACCGAUUUGUGGGGGAUAGCCGGCCUAACGGCAGAGUAAUACCGCAUACGCUCUUUGGGCUUCAUGGCCUAUUGAGGAAACCUCCGGGGCAAAUCGAGGGGCUCGCGGCCUAUCAGCUAGUUGGCGAGGUCACGGCUCACCAAGGCGACGACGGGUAGCUGGUCUGAGAGGAUGGCCAGCCACAUUGGGACUGAGAAACGGCCCAGACUCCUACGGGAGGCAGCAGUGGGGAAUCUUGCGCAAUGGACGAAAGUCUGACGCAGCGACGCCGCGUGGGGGAUGACGGUUUCGGCUUGUAAACCCCUGUUGCCCGGGACGAACGCCUUUUCGAGAGGCUUGACGGUACCGGGUGAGGAAGCACCGGCUAACUCCGUGCCAGCAGCCGC